UGAGGAAUAUUGGUCAAUGGGCGCAAGCCUGAACCAGCCAUCCCGCGUGCAGGAAGACGGCGCUAUGCGUUGUAAACUGCUUUUCCAGGGAGAGAAACUUUCGCACGUGUUGCGCAGUUGACGGUACCCUGGGAAUAAGCAUCGGCUAACUCCGUGCCAGCAGCCGCGGUAAUACGGAGGAUGCGAGCGUUAUCCGGAUUCAUUGGGUUUAAAGGGUGCGUAGGCGGACUAUUAAGUCAGUGGUGAAAUCCUGCAGCUUAACUGCAGAACUGCCAUUGAUACUGAUAGCCUUGAGUUUGGUUGAGGUAGGCGGAAUGUGUAAUGUAGCGGUGAAAUGCUUAGAUAUUACACAGAACACCAAUUGCGUAGGCAGCUUACUGGGCAGACACUGACGCUGAGGCACGAAAGCGUGGGGAUCGAACAG
Molecule: ribosomal RNA, 424 nt
Filed under: uncultured bacterium
Lineage: Bacteria
Description: bacterial SSU rRNA
Rfam family: Bacterial small subunit ribosomal RNA
Source: RNAcentral